This 150-nucleotide unclassified non-coding RNA is filed under the name uncultured Hymenochaetales. Its description in RNAcentral is "sequence contains ITS1". The record is from RNAcentral. Lineage: Eukaryota; Fungi; Basidiomycota; Agaricomycetes; Hymenochaetales.
UUGAAUUCCAAACGUAAAGGACUUGUGCUGUUGCGCUUCGGCUGCACGCCUUGUCCGAUACACUCACACCUGUGCACCUUUGACCCGCAUAUAGUCGGGUCCUUACACACACACUUAAAAUCUUAGAAUGUUUUAUAUAUGAAAUUAUGA